Non-coding RNA from Callorhinus ursinus (northern fur seal), 213 nucleotides. The record is from RefSeq and is a predicted model, not a curated record. NCBI's taxonomy places the organism in Eukaryota, Metazoa, Chordata, Mammalia, Carnivora, Otariidae.
CCCACUAGGCAGGAGAAACGGGCAGGACAGAAGACGUGGGCUGUGGGGACAGCUCAUCUGCACCAGGGACGGCUGGGCUGGGUCCCGGAGGUAGGAGGCUGAAGUCUAGAGGUAGGUUAACACAUUCACCCAAAACCCUUGUUUCCCAGUCCGUCUCGAGGAUGCAGCAGUUUUCCUCAUACAAGGAGAGACAAACAGGAGAGCACUUUCCAG